CCUACGGGAGGCAGCAGUGGGGAAUAUUGGACAAUGGGGGGAACCCUGAUCCAGCCAUGCCGCGUGUGUGAAGAAGGCCCUCGGGUUGUAAAGCACUUUCAGUGAGGAAGAACGCCUGGUGGUUAAUACCCAUCAGGAAAGACAUCACUCACAGAAGAAGCACCGGCUAACUCCGUGCCAGCAGCCGCGGUAAUACGGAGGGUGCGAGCGUUAAUCGGAAUUACUGGGCGUAAAGCGCGCGUAGGUGGCUUGAUAAGCCGGUUGUGAAAGCCCCGGGCUCAACCCGGGAACGGCAUCCGGAACUGUCAAGCUAGAGUGCAGGAGAGGAAGGUAGAAUUCCCGGUGUAGCGGUGAAAUGCGUAGAGAUCGGGAGGAAUACCAGUGGCGAAGGCGGCCUUCUGGACUGACACUGACACUGAGGUGCGAAAGCGUGGGUAGCAAACAGGAUUAGAUACCCUAGUAGUC
Molecule: ribosomal RNA, 465 nt
Filed under: Vreelandella stevensii
Lineage: Bacteria; Pseudomonadati; Pseudomonadota; Gammaproteobacteria; Oceanospirillales; Halomonadaceae
Description: partial 16S ribosomal RNA
Rfam family: Bacterial small subunit ribosomal RNA
Source: RNAcentral